RNAcentral lists this ribosomal RNA (442 nucleotides) under uncultured bacterium. RNAcentral's name for it is "partial 16S ribosomal RNA". It matches the Rfam family "Bacterial small subunit ribosomal RNA", at positions 338 to 795 of the family's 1533-position model. The record is from RNAcentral.
CCUACGGGAGGCAGCAGUAGGGAAUCUUUCACAAUGGGCGAAAGCCUGAUGGAGCAACGCCGCGUGCAGGAUGAAGGCCUUCGGGUUGUAAACGGCUGUUAUAAGCGAGAAAGAUGAUGGUAAGUUAGGAAUAAGGAACGGCUAACGACGUGCCAGCAGCCGCGGUCAUACGUAGGAUCCGAGCAUUAUCCGGAGUGACUGGGUGUAAGGAGGUGCGUAGGUGGCCUAAUAAGUAGCUAGUGAAAUCUGGUGGCUCAACCCUUCCGACUAUUCGCUAAACUGUGAAGCUCGAGACCGUUAGGGGUAACUGGAAUUUCUCGUGUAGGCGUGACAUCCGUAGAUAUUAGCAGGAACCCCACUCGCGUAGGCAGGUUACUGGGACGGUUCUGCCACUCAGGCACGAAAGCGUCGGGCGCAAACCGGAUUAGAUACCCGGGUAGUC